RNAcentral lists this ribosomal RNA (600 nucleotides) under uncultured bacterium. Its description in RNAcentral is "bacterial SSU rRNA". It matches the Rfam family "Bacterial small subunit ribosomal RNA", at positions 338 to 951 of the family's 1533-position model. The record is from RNAcentral.
CCUACGGGAGGCAGCAGUGGGGAAUAUUGCGCAAUGGGCGAAAGCCUGACGCAGCGACGCCGCGUGUGGGAUGACGGCCUUCGGGUUGUAAACCACUGUCGCGAGGGACGAAGCUCUGACGGUACCUCGAAAGGAAGCACCGGCUAACUCUGUGCCAGCAGCCGCGGUAAUACAGAGGGUGCGAGCGUUGUCCGGAAUCACUGGGCGUAAAGGGCGCGUAGGUGGCCUGAUAAGUAGGGGGUGAAAUCUCGCGGCUCAACUGCGAGGCUGCCUCCUAAACUGUCGGGCUCGAGCAGAGUAGAGGCAGGUGGAAUUCCCGGUGUAGCGGUGGAAUGCGUAGAGAUCGGGAAGAACAUCGGUGGCGAAGGCGGCCUGCUGGGCUCUUGCUGACACUGAGGCGCGACAGCGUGGGGAGCAAACAGGAUUAGAUACCCUGGUAGUCCACGCCGUAAACGAUGGGUACUAGGCGCCGGGGGAGCGACCCCUUCGGUGCCGUCGCUAACGCAAUAAGUACCCGCCUGGGGAGUACGGCCGCAAGGCNGAACUACAAUAGAAGUAGACGGCGUGAGACGUGCCGACGGACGACGACGAGGGAGGAGG